Molecule: long non-coding RNA, 655 nt
Organism: Oncorhynchus nerka (sockeye salmon)
Lineage: Eukaryota; Metazoa; Chordata; Actinopteri; Salmoniformes; Salmonidae
Exons: 3
Source: RefSeq, a predicted model, not a curated record
UCUCUCCUCCUGCUACCAUAGCAGGGACUGACAUUUUGGAGAAUUGAUUCAUCGCUACAUUAAGUAAUGCAGUAAUCAAUUACUCAAACAAUUUCUCGGGGAAAACAGAAGCAUUUUAAAAGAGGCAUUAAUGUCACUAUUGGAGGAAUAAAAUGGUUUGGUUGCAAUGUGAGCUGUAUCUGACUGGGAGCGCUCUGAGCCUCUGCUCAGUCGGUAACUUACCCGAGCAGCACAGUGAAGUGGAAGGUCUCUUUUUCACGCUACCAUUUUCAUCCCAUUUAAUCGAAUUCCCCACUAUUGUUAUCACAUCUACAAAACAAUUCUGUGGUGAGGUUACCCAGAAAGUGAGCUUGCAUCUGCUCUCACGGGGGAGUGGGAAGAGCAGCUGUGGACAAAGAAGACAGUGUGAGGACCACAGAGUAGGAGAUGAAAGGUACAUGCUUAUGGAAGGAGACCAAUCUGGGACUGUAGCACCACAAUCUGGCCCGUCAUUUGGAUGUCGUUACUGAGUUGAUUCCAGGUGUCGCUUAUUUCCCCCAGUGUAUUUAUCCCUGUGUUUCCUGUCUCUCUGACCGGUGAGUGGGCCAGGAGAAACAUGAAGAGCUGCUGUGACAUGUGUAGUAUAGACCAGAGCUGUAUAGGAGACACUCACCAG